AAAAAAGAGAAGAAGAAUAAGAAGAAGAAAAAGGAAGAAAAAACAGAGCAACACAGACUCUGUUAUGUACUUAUGUUGCAGCAGCAGCGAUAAAAAGAGCCCAAAACAAAAAGAAAGAAGAAGAGAUGAAGAAGAAGAAGAAGAAAAAAUAGAGUAACACAGUGUUGCUCUGUUCUGUUGCAGCAGCAGCGAUUAAAAACAGAGCCCAAAACAAAAAGAAAGAAGAGAGAAGAGAGAAGAAAGAAGGAAAAAAAAUUGGACAGAGUCACAGAACAGAAACUCGAAGAAAGAAGAAAGGAGAAGAAGAAAGAAUAAAAGAGAUGAAGGGAAGCAUACCUGAUGAAGAAAGAAGAAAGAAAAUCGCUGGUCUGCGGUAGGUUUGCCAUCGACUUGAAGGAGAAAGAGUAGAGAAAUCGCGAGCUCCUUGCGGUAGGUUUGCUGUCGACUUGAAGGAGAAAGAGUACAGAAAUCGCGAGCCCU
RNAcentral lists this long non-coding RNA (480 nucleotides) under Nicotiana benthamiana. RNAcentral's name for it is "long non-coding RNA (NBEN_LNC037012)". Lineage: Eukaryota; Viridiplantae; Streptophyta; Magnoliopsida; Solanales; Solanaceae. The record is from RNAcentral.